Molecule: ribosomal RNA, 2925 nt
Filed under: Escherichia coli
Lineage: Bacteria; Pseudomonadati; Pseudomonadota; Gammaproteobacteria; Enterobacterales; Enterobacteriaceae
Description: 23S ribosomal RNA
Rfam family: Bacterial large subunit ribosomal RNA
Source: RNAcentral
GGGUUGUGAGGUUAAGCGACUAAGCGUACACGGUGGAUGCCCUGGCAGUCAGAGGCGAUGAAGGACGUGCUAAUCUGCGAUAAGCGUCGGUAAGGUGAUAUGAACCGUUAUAACCGGCGAUUUCCGAAUGGGGAAACCCAGUGUGUUUCGACACACUAUCAUUAACUGAAUCCAUAGGUUAAUGAGGCGAACCGGGGGAACUGAAACAUCUAAGUACCCCGAGGAAAAGAAAUCAACCGAGAUUCCCCCAGUAGCGGCGAGCGAACGGGGAGCAGCCCAGAGCCUGAAUCAGUGUGUGUGUUAGUGGAAGCGUCUGGAAAGGCGCGCGAUACAGGGUGACAGCCCCGUACACAAAAAUGCACAUGCUGUGAGCUCGAUGAGUAGGGCGGGACACGUGGUAUCCUGUCUGAAUAUGGGGGGACCAUCCUCCAAGGCUAAAUACUCCUGACUGACCGAUAGUGAACCAGUACCGUGAGGGAAAGGCGAAAAGAACCCCGGCGAGGGGAGUGAAAAAGAACCUGAAACCGUGUACGUACAAGCAGUGGGAGCACGCUUAGGCGUGUGACUGCGUACCUUUUGUAUAAUGGGUCAGCGACUUAUAUUCUGUAGCAAGGUUAACCGAAUAGGGGAGCCGAAGGGAAACCGAGUCUUAACUGGGCGUUAAGUUGCAGGGUAUAGACCCGAAACCCGGUGAUCUAGCCAUGGGCAGGUUGAAGGUUGGGUAACACUAACUGGAGGACCGAACCGACUAAUGUUGAAAAAUUAGCGGAUGACUUGUGGCUGGGGGUGAAAGGCCAAUCAAACCGGGAGAUAGCUGGUUCUCCCCGAAAGCUAUUUAGGUAGCGCCUCGUGAAUUCAUCUCCGGGGGUAGAGCACUGUUUCGGCAAGGGGGUCAUCCCGACUUACCAACCCGAUGCAAACUGCGAAUACCGGAGAAUGUUAUCACGGGAGACACACGGCGGGUGCUAACGUCCGUCGUGAAGAGGGAAACAACCCAGACCGCCAGCUAAGGUCCCAAAGUCAUGGUUAAGUGGGAAACGAUGUGGGAAGGCCCAGACAGCCAGGAUGUUGGCUUAGAAGCAGCCAUCAUUUAAAGAAAGCGUAAUAGCUCACUGGUCGAGUCGGCCUGCGCGGAAGAUGUAACGGGGCUAAACCAUGCACCGAAGCUGCGGCAGCGACGCUUAUGCGUUGUUGGGUAGGGGAGCGUUCUGUAAGCCUGUGAAGGUGUACUGUGAGGUAUGCUGGAGGUAUCAGAAGUGCGAAUGCUGACAUAAGUAACGAUAAAGCGGGUGAAAAACCCGCUCGCCGGAAGACCAAGGGUUCCUGUCCAACGUUAAUCGGGGCAGGGUGAGUCGACCCCUAAGGCGAGGCCGAAAGGCGUAGUCGAUGGGAAACAGGUUAAUAUUCCUGUACUUGGUGUUACUGCGAAGGGGGGACGGAGAAGGCUAUGUUGGCCGGGCGACGGUUGUCCCGGUUUAAGCGUGUAGGCUGGUUUUCCAGGCAAAUCCGGAAAAUCAAGGCUGAGGCGUGAUGACGAGGCACUACGGUGCUGAAGCAACAAAUGCCCUGCUUCCAGGAAAAGCCUCUAAGCAUCAGGUAACAUCAAAUCGUACCCCAAACCGACACAGGUGGUCAGGUAGAGAAUACCAAGGCGCUUGAGAGAACUCGGGUGAAGGAACUAGGCAAAAUGGUGCCGUAACUUCGGGAGAAGGCACGCUGAUAUGUAGGUGAAGUCCCUCGCGGAUGGAGCUGAAAUCAGUCGAAGAUACCAGCUGGCUGCAACUGUUUAUUAAAAACACAGCACUGUGCAAACACGAAAGUGGACGUAUACGGUGUGACGCCUGCCCGGUGCCGGAAGGUUAAUUGAUGGGGUUAGCGCAAGCGAAGCUCUUGAUCGAAGCCCCGGUAAACGGCGGCCGUAACUAUAACGGUCCUAAGGUAGCGAAAUUCCUUGUCGGGUAAGUUCCGACCUGCACGAAUGGCGUAAUGAUGGCCAGGCUGUCUCCACCCGAGACUCAGUGAAAUUGAACUCGCUGUGAAGAUGCAGUGUACCCGCGGCAAGACGGAAAGACCCCGUGAACCUUUACUAUAGCUUGACACUGAACAUUGAGCCUUGAUGUGUAGGAUAGGUGGGAGGCUUUGAAGUGUGGACGCCAGUCUGCAUGGAGCCGACCUUGAAAUACCACCCUUUAAUGUUUGAUGUUCUAACGUUGACCCGUAAUCCGGGUUGCGGACAGUGUCUGGUGGGUAGUUUGACUGGGGCGGUCUCCUCCUAAAGAGUAACGGAGGAGCACGAAGGUUGGCUAAUCCUGGUCGGACAUCAGGAGGUUAGUGCAAUGGCAUAAGCCAGCUUGACUGCGAGCGUGACGGCGCGAGCAGGUGCGAAAGCAGGUCAUAGUGAUCCGGUGGUUCUGAAUGGAAGGGCCAUCGCUCAACGGAUAAAAGGUACUCCGGGGAUAACAGGCUGAUACCGCCCAAGAGUUCAUAUCGACGGCGGUGUUUGGCACCUCGAUGUCGGCUCAUCACAUCCUGGGGCUGAAGUAGGUCCCAAGGGUAUGGCUGUUCGCCAUUUAAAGUGGUACGCGAGCUGGGUUUAGAACGUCGUGAGACAGUUCGGUCCCUAUCUGCCGUGGGCGCUGGAGAACUGAGGGGGGCUGCUCCUAGUACGAGAGGACCGGAGUGGACGCAUCACUGGUGUUCGGGUUGUCAUGCCAAUGGCACUGCCCGGUAGCUAAAUGCGGAAGAGAUAAGUGCUGAAAGCAUCUAAGCACGAAACUUGCCCCGAGAUGAGUUCUCCCUGACCCUUUAAGGGUCCUGAAGGAACGUUGAAGACGACGACGUUGAUAGGCCGGGUGUGUAAGCGCAGCGAUGCGUUGAGCUAACCGGUACUAAUGAACCGUGAGGCUUAACCUUACAACGCCGAAG